GGGCAGUGGUCAAAUUUUAGGGG
Molecule: non-coding RNA, 23 nt
Filed under: Rattus norvegicus (Norway rat)
Lineage: Eukaryota; Metazoa; Chordata; Mammalia; Rodentia; Muridae
Source: RNAcentral